GGAUAUUUAUUAACUUUAAAAAGUAAACAUAUGACAAAUGAAUAAAAAUAGACUAAAAAAACAAAUAGAAUACUCUAGAACUAAAAACGGAAAACGCCUAAAAACUUUGAUAUCCCCGUCAGUUGUAAAUGGCCUGUCCCCCACCUUCCCUUUUCCAAAAUGCCGAUUCAGUUUCAACGGGGGUAAGGCCUGAGAGAAAAUGAGAACGUUUCUGAUGAAGGGGCUCUCAACACCCUCAUUCUCUGCGAUCCCGCGGUUCGUGUCAGUCUGGCUCUCAUGGUCGGUCCAGUUCUGAUUGGUGUGUGGCAUACCUGGGAACCGCACCAAGCAGGUAAAUCUCUUCCUUCUUUCUGAGACUUGUUGUGGCAAUGAUAUGGGCUAACUUAUUAGCCAAUCUCAGAGCAAAGAGAAAAGUAAUAGUCUCAAAACUGUCUUUUUCGCUUUGUAUGUUAUAAAUUGUAAUAUAUAUUUAUUGUUAAAAUAUUAAUAUAAAUAUUUUUGAUAAUAUAUUAAGAAUGUUAUUUAAAAUUUAAAAUUAUUAUUGUUAAUAAUUAUUAUUAAAAUAAAUUUGUAAUAUUAAAUAAUUUAUUAAAAUAAGAAAUUAUAUUAAUAAUUUAUUAUAUUAUUAAAUAUAAAUACUUAAAUAUGUAUGUUUAAUAAUAUUAAACAUUAUCAUAUUUGACAUUAAUAUUUUUAAAUAUUUUUUAAAAAUUUAAAAUUUAUUAUAAUAGUCCUAAUUUAAGAUAAUUUUUUUAUCAAAAAAUUACUGAUAAAUGAGUUGAUUUUUGGAAAAUAACUUACACUUUUAAAAUGAUAAGUCAAUUUACAUUAAAAAAAUUAUUGACCAAAUUAUUUUUCAUGAAAAAAAAACAAAAAAAGUUGUAUAAAUUAUUUUUCGUAAAUCAAAGAGGAAAAUUUCUACAUACUUCCGACCAUCUACUGGUUGAACUUCUAAAUGUUUAUUCCCAGGAAAAAAUAACUAAACUACAUGCUUGUUAUUUAAACCGAUUAACAUUUGUAUAUAUUUCCUAUUGCAUUUGCUUCAUGUUACCAACCACACACCGACAAGAUGAGCAUGAGUAAGGAGUAAGGAAGAAGAAUUCCCAGCCACAAUACGGCCCCUGAGCUCUCUUUCUUGACAUCUAUAUUUUCUACCUUCAAAUACUUUUUCUUUAGUAUUGAGAAGGACUGAAUUAUCAUUUCAAGAAAAAUAUUUUACAUUCAAUAAACAUAAGUUUUACAGAAAUUAGAAAAUAAUAAUACAUUAAUAGUAUUAUAUUAUUAUGUUUAAAGACAAUAGUAGGCUACCACCUUUCUACCCUAUAUGUAUCCCGCAUGACUUAUUUCUAUGUCUCUCUAAUAAACUUGUCACUUUUUCAAGCAAAUUUUCUUUUAUCUAUUUUUGUUUGAUUCUUCGUGAUUAAGCUAAACUUGAUCUUCUCAGUGACCCACCAAUUCUCCCCCGGGAAAAAGAUUGAAUAAAAAAUUGACCCCCACUACCUUUAAACUAAGGAUAAUUUUAAAAAUAUAUAUAUGCAUUUGCUUUGAAUUAUAAAGCUUUCGCUCGGGGAGAAUUUGGCAUGUUAGCCCUCAUAGUUUAAAUUUUAAUUUUUAUUAAUCCAAUCAUGCUUUAUGGUAGUUAAUGAUAUAUGUAGGAAUAGACUGAAAUUAAUUAAAUUCAAUUCACUAAAGUUGUUAAUUUUCAAGCCUAGACAAUUAGUUGAUUUGCGACCAUUUUUGAAUGGGAUUUAGAUAUUUUUAACUGGAGAUGUUCAAGCAUUUUUGUUUUCAUUAUUGAUCUUAAGUCUCACUUUUUCUUUGUUAUUUUUAG
This 1831-nucleotide long non-coding RNA is filed under the name Gossypium barbadense (sea-island cotton). Its description in RNAcentral is "long non-coding RNA (GBAR_LNC000391)". The record is from RNAcentral. Lineage: Eukaryota; Viridiplantae; Streptophyta; Magnoliopsida; Malvales; Malvaceae.